GACGGAGGGUGCAAGCGUUGUUCGGAAUCAUUGGGCGUAAAGCGCGUGUAGGCGGUGGGAUAAGUCCGAUGUGAAAGCCUUGGGCUCAACCCGAGAAGUGCAUUGGAGACUGUCCUUCUUGAGUACGGGAGGGGGAAGUGGAAUUCCCAGUGUAGAGGUGAAAUUCGUAGAUAUUGGGAGGAACACCGGUGGCGAAAGCGACUUCCUGGAACGAUACUGACGAUGAGACGCGAAAGCGUGGGGAGCAAACAGG
RNAcentral lists this ribosomal RNA (253 nucleotides) under uncultured bacterium. RNAcentral's name for it is "partial 16S ribosomal RNA". It matches the Rfam family "Bacterial small subunit ribosomal RNA", at positions 524 to 776 of the family's 1533-position model. The record is from RNAcentral.